RNAcentral lists this long non-coding RNA (506 nucleotides) under Brassica napus (rape). RNAcentral describes it as "long non-coding RNA (BNAP_LNC020383)". The record is from RNAcentral. Lineage: Eukaryota; Viridiplantae; Streptophyta; Magnoliopsida; Brassicales; Brassicaceae.
AUAACUCGUUUUUUAAAUAUGUGCUAUAGUGAGAAGCACAUCUGAUCAUAGUUUAAAUCAUAUAAAAGUAGCAAGCAAACUCAUAAAACACAUCAAACUCAUCGAUGACCUCUACAUAUCUCAUAACAAAUCAUCAUCUGAUCAUAUCCCAUAACAAAUCAAUAAAACACACAUUCAGUUUUGCAAGAGACAAGUUACCUUGUGUGUCAGUACAGAAACGCUCUCUCACUUCAGCUACUCUUGUCUGUCAAGUGUCAAGGACUCGAACCUACUCUUGCCUGUUACAAAAAAACAAAACCAUUAAGUUACAUAUCUCAAACGCAAUACAAACGGAUAGAACGAAACUCAAAGAAUCAAUCCAUAUCUACACAAGAACAGAUACAAACAAACCCAUAUCAGUAAACUUGAACCGAUCUCAAAUCUCAUAAAACCCAAUCUCAGAUUCGAAAAUCACAAACAAAAAUCCAUCUCAGAUAAAAAAAAAACCCAACUCAAAUCUCAAACAA